GAGAUAAAUAAAUAGAUUAAUAAACAAUUUGAGCUUCUGGAGAAGAAACGGGAACUCGUGUGGAGUUCACAUGGAAUUUACGUGGAAUUCACAUGGAAUUGGUGUGACAAUCCAACCCUCUGAGGCCUUUGGCAAAGGCUGGGAACAGCUCUGCCCUUGGAGGAGCCGGUGCUGCUUUCACUGAGCAGGUUGGGAAUGCUGGAAUUCUCCUCCUCAUCCUGCAAGGAAAAUCAUUUCAUGCUUUUCUGUGAAAGAAAACAGGCAAUUCCUCAGGAUAAAAACUGGAUCCAAGCCUGUAUCCUGCUAAUUCCAGCAGCAGUGACCUUGAGGAGGCUGGAGCACAAAGGAGCUGCAGUUUCUCCUGGAAUUCUGAUUUCCUUCUCAUCUCCUGUGGUUGAAGUUGUCCCAUCCUGAAGGUGAGGUUGUGCUGUCCCCUCUGCUGAACAGCUUUUAAUAAAAAAUUAUUCAUUUAUUAAUUAACUCCUCUCUCCACUGAGGUUACCCCAUCCUUACUCACAUCCUACUACACCCCCAAAAACACAGUGGAGACAGAACCACCUAAAAAACCCCAAUUUUGGAGCUCAAAUCUCUUUUUAGCACCUCCCCAACCCCCAGGAGCCCUCAGGAAAAGCCUUGCAGCACCAUCAGGAUGUUUAUUCCCAGGAUUUAUCCUCCCAGGGUGAAGAGGGAACAACAACCAUCCCACAGGAACAGGCUGUGGGUGCUUCCCACUCUUCCUCUCACUUCCAGAGGUUAAAAACUAUUCCUGCCACAUUCCCAGCUCUGCCUUUUCCACCUAAAACUUGAGCUUUUAUAAUCUCAGGUGCCUGCAGGAAAAGAAACAGCUCCAAAACAAAUCCCAAACAAGAUUUUCCAGCAGUUUUUCUUCCUCUUUAUUUAUUUAUUAUUUCCUUCAAGUGCUGGUAGAGGUCAGGGACAACACCACAGCAACAAUUCCAAGGGGAAUAUUUGGGUUUUUUACCAUUUUUCCCAGGUUUAUAUUCAGGAUUCCCAACCUAUCAUAGUUCACAGCUGUUGACAGCAGAGCCAAGUGGAAUCUGACAAUUAUCAACUUUAAACUUUAAAAAGGAAAGGGGUUUCCCCACCUGGCUGGAAUUUGUUUUUAGAAGGGAAAAAUAAACAAACCCCACGUGAUGAAUAUUUAUUCAUUCCUAGAAAGUGAGGGUGGAAAAUACCAUACAAAUCUUCCCUCUUCUUUCUCACCUUCAGAAAAUACAAAAAGGUUUGAG
Molecule: long non-coding RNA, 1250 nt
Organism: Poecile atricapillus (Black-capped chickadee)
Lineage: Eukaryota; Metazoa; Chordata; Aves; Passeriformes; Paridae
Exons: 3
Source: RefSeq, a predicted model, not a curated record